UAAUCACUUGUCUUUUAAAUGGAGACCUGUAUGAAUGGCAUUACGAGGGCUUAACUGUCUCCUUUUUCAAGUCAAUGAAAUUGAUCUCCCCGUGCAGAAGCGGGGAUAAUACCAUAAGACGAGAAGACCCUAUGGAGCUUUAGACACUAAGGCAUAUCAUGUAAUCUACCCCUAAACCCUGAGGACUAAACCUAUUGAAACAUGCCCCUAUGUCUUCGGUUGGGGCGACCACGGGGAAAUAAAAAACCCCCGCGUGGAGUGGGAGUACAACUUCCUGCAACCAAGAGCUGCAGCUCUAACAAACAAAAUUUUUGACCAUAAACAGAUNNNNNAAAGCCGAUUAACGGACCAAGUUACCCUAGGGAUAACAGCGCAAUCCCCUUUUAGAUCCCA
RNAcentral lists this ribosomal RNA (393 nucleotides) under Psenopsis anomala (melon seed). RNAcentral's name for it is "partial 16S ribosomal RNA". It matches the Rfam family "Bacterial large subunit ribosomal RNA", at positions 1962 to 2502 of the family's 2925-position model. The record is from RNAcentral. Lineage: Eukaryota; Metazoa; Chordata; Actinopteri; Scombriformes; Centrolophidae.